UUAAGCGACUAAGCGUACACGGUGGAUGCCCUGGCAGUCAGAGGCGAUGAAGGACGUGCUAAUCUGCGAUAAGCGUCGGUAAGGUGAUAUGAACCGUUAUAACCGGCGAUUUCCGAAUGGGGAAACCCAGUGUGUUUCGACACACUAUCAUUAACUGAAUCCAUAGGUUAAUGAGGCGAACCGGGGGAACUGAAACAUCUAAGUACCCCGAGGAAAAGAAAUCAACCGAGAUUCCCCCAGUAGCGGCGAGCGAACGGGGAGGAGCCCAGAGCCUGAAUCAGUGUGUGUGUUAGUGGAAGCGUCUGGAAAGGCGCGCGAUACAGGGUGACAGCCCCGUACACAAAAAUGCACAUGCUGUGAGCUCGAUGAGUAGGGCGGGACACGUGGUAUCCUGUCUGAAUAUGGGGGGACCAUCCUCCAAGGCUAAAUACUCCUGACUGACCGAUAGUGAACCAGUACCGUGAGGGAAAGGCGAAAAGAACCCCGGCGAGGGGAGUGAAAAAGAACCUGAAACCGUGUACGUACAAGCAGUGGGAGCCUCUUAAUGGGGUGACUGCGUACCUUUUGUAUAAUGGGUCAGCGACUUAUAUUCUGUAGCAAGGUUAACCGAAUAGGGGAGCCGAAGGGAAACCGAGUCUUAACUGGGCGUUAAGUUGCAGGGUAUAGACCCGAAACCCGGUGAUCUAGCCAUGGGCAGGUUGAAGGUUGGGUAACACUAACUGGAGGACCGAACCGACUAAUGUUGAAAAAUUAGCGGAUGACUUGUGGCUGGGGGUGAAAGGCCAAUCAAACCGGGAGAUAGCUGGUUCUCCCCGAAAGCUAUUUAGGUAGCGCCUCGUGAAUUCAUCUCCGGGGGUAGAGCACUGUUUCGGCAAGGGGGUCAUCCCGACUUACCAACCCGAUGCAAACUGCGAAUACCGGAGAAUGUUAUCACGGGAGACACACGGCGGGUGCUAACGUCCGUCGUGAAGAGGGAAACAACCCAGACCGCCAGCUAAGGUCCCAAAGUCAUGGUUAAGUGGGAAACGAUGUGGGAAGGCCCAGACAGCCAGGAUGUUGGCUUAGAAGCAGCCAUCAUUUAAAGAAAGCGUAAUAGCUCACUGGUCGAGUCGGCCUGCGCGGAAGAUGUAACGGGGCUAAACCAUGCACCGAAGCUGCGGCAGCGACACUAUGUGUUGUUGGGUAGGGGAGCGUUCUGUAAGCCUGUGAAGGUGUACUGUGAGGUAUGCUGGAGGUAUCAGAAGUGCGAAUGCUGACAUAAGUAACGAUAAAGCGGGUGAAAAGCCCGCUCGCCGGAAGACCAAGGGUUCCUGUCCAACGUUAAUCGGGGCAGGGUGAGUCGACCCCUAAGGCGAGGCCGAAAGGCGUAGUCGAUGGGAAACAGGUUAAUAUUCCUGUACUUGGUGUUACUGCGAAGGGGGGACGGAGAAGGCUAUGUUGGCCGGGCGACGGUUGUCCCGGUUUAAGCGUGUAGGCUGGUUUUCCAGGCAAAUCCGGAAAAUCAAGGCUGAGGCGUGAUGACGAGGCACUACGGUGCUGAAGCAACAAAUGCCCUGCUUCCAGGAAAAGCCUCUAAGCAUCAGGUAACAUCAAAUCGUACCCCAAACCGACACAGGUGGUCAGGUAGAGAAUACCAAGGCGCUUGAGAGAACUCGGGUGAAGGAACUAGGCAAAAUGGUGCCGUAACUUCGGGAGAAGGCACGCUGAUAUGUAGGUGAAGUCCCUUGCGGAUGGAGCUGAAAUCAGUCGAAGAUACCAGCUGGCUGCAACUGUUUAUUAAAAACACAGCACUGUGCAAACACGAAAGUGGACGUAUACGGUGUGACGCCUGCCCGGUGCCGGAAGGUUAAUUGAUGGGGUUAGCGGUAACGCGAAGCUCUUGAUCGAAGCCCCGGUAAACGGCGGCCGUAACUAUAACGGUCCUAAGGUAGCGAAAUUCCUUGUCGGGUAAGUUCCGACCUGCACGAAUGGCGUAAUGAUGGCCAGGCUGUCUCCACCCGAGACUCAGUGAAAUUGAACUCGCUGUGAAGAUGCAGUGUACCCGCGGCAAGACGGAAAGACCCCGUGAACCUUUACUAUAGCUUGACACUGAACAUUGAGCCUUGAUGUGUAGGAUAGGUGGGAGGCUUUGAAGUGUGGACGCCAGUCUGCAUGGAGCCGACCUUGAAAUACCACCCUUUAAUGUUUGAUGUUCUAACGUUGGCCCCUUACCGGGGUUGCGGACAGUGUCUGGUGGGUAGUUUGACUGGGGCGGUCUCCUCCUAAAGAGUAACGGAGGAGCACGAAGGUUGGCUAAUCCUGGUCGGACAUCAGGAGGUUAGUGCAAUGGCAUAAGCCAGCUUGACUGCGAGCGUGACGGCGCGAGCAGGUGCGAAAGCAGGUCAUAGUGAUCCGGUGGUUCUGAAUGGAAGGGCCAUCGCUCAACGGAUAAAAGGUACUCCGGGGAUAACAGGCUGAUACCGCCCAAGAGUUCAUAUCGACGGCGGUGUUUGGCACCUCGAUGUCGGCUCAUCACAUCCUGGGGCUGAAGUAGGUCCCAAGGGUAUGGCUGUUCGCCAUUUAAAGUGGUACGCGAGCUGGGUUUAGAACGUCGUGAGACAGUUCGGUCCCUAUCUGCCGUGGGCGCUGGAGAACUGAGGGGGGCUGCUCCUAGUACGAGAGGACCGGAGUGGACGCAUCACUGGUGUUCGGGUUGUCAUGCCAAUGGCACUGCCCGGUAGCUAAAUGCGGAAGAGAUAAGUGCUGAAAGCAUCUAAGCACGAAACUUGCCCCGAGAUGAGUUCUCCCUGACUCUUUAAGGGUCCUGAAGGAACGUUGAAGACGACGACGUUGAUAGGCCGGGUGUGUAAGCGCAGCGAUGCGUUGAGCUAACCGGUACUAAUGAACCGUGAGGCUUAACCUU
This 2902-nucleotide ribosomal RNA is filed under the name Escherichia coli. RNAcentral's name for it is "bacterial LSU rRNA". It matches the Rfam family "Bacterial large subunit ribosomal RNA". The record is from RNAcentral. RNAcentral also lists the same sequence under 9 other names. Lineage: Bacteria; Pseudomonadati; Pseudomonadota; Gammaproteobacteria; Enterobacterales; Enterobacteriaceae.